Molecule: long non-coding RNA, 2302 nt
Organism: Numida meleagris (helmeted guineafowl)
Lineage: Eukaryota; Metazoa; Chordata; Aves; Galliformes; Numididae
Exons: 2
Source: RefSeq, a predicted model, not a curated record
AUCCCUGGAGGUGUUCAAGAAAUGCGUAGAUGUGGCACGGAGAGACAUGGUUAGUGGGCAUGGUGGGGACAGGUUGGCAAUUGGACUAGAUGAGCUUAGAGGUAUUUUCCAACCUCAGUGAAUCUAUGAUUUCAAGUUCAAAAGGAUUGGCCCACUAAAAGUUCCUAAAGCCCUGAACCUCUUCUUUUCAGGCCCCUGAAUGCUGGGAGCAUUCAGCUGUUACCUGAACUGGGUCCACAAAAACGAGCCCAUGAUUGCAGCAGCUUCCUAAAGGAAGCCAAACUCCUGACUGUAGGGGAGGAGCUGCUGGUUUUAUGUACACAUACACACUAAGAACUGUUUUUGUGAAUGCACACCACAAAUGAGCAUGUUUUGCUGUUCCCCUUGUUGCUGCCACUCCAGUUGUCAGCCAGAAAGCUUGGUGGCCCUACUGCAAGGCACAUUUUGUCCCAACCUUCUCAUAGUGUACUACUAGCACAGCUACCAACUAAAAAUUCCCCACUGGGAGUCAGCCCACAGCAACACUAGCCUCAACCACUGGCCCUGAGACUGUGAGCACAGACUGAGCCUUCAACGAUGAGAAGCCAUUUCUCCAGCAAACUUCUCUCUUACUUACAACAUACUGAGCACUGACAACUGGAAACCACUUCACAACCCCUCGCUGAAAGGCCCUAGAAGAGCUCAAAUAAUUUCACAAUAGCACAUUGCAAAUGAUCAUCAUACAGUGUUUCCUCAUGCAUUACUGGCAGCCUUACCAAGCAGCAGACCAAGAGGCAGAUCUGGCAGAGGAGAAAUAAGCAAGCACCGCAAAGGAAAAAAGCUGUUUCUAGUUCCUGCAGCUCAGAGGAUUGCUGCAAGGCUUUCUGUCAUGUUUCAUUUCCCCAGAAAAUUCAAGUCAGCUUUCUCCUCCAUUAGGCACCCCAUCAACGCCAUUAUGUACAUACAUACAUAAGCAUCACUUACCCGAGGUUACAGGCAACCAACAGCAGCACAGCAGACACAUUCCCACAGGUAUCCUAUUCUCUGCAACAGCCUCCAUUGUCCUGCAUCUUCCAGACUGUCCCAGAGCAGACUGAUGUCCCAGUGCCGCCCCAGGUUCUGGCAACUAGAGGUCUUCUUGCUCCAUAGGACCUUACCCAAGGAACCACAUAGCUCCCAGUGGCACAAACUGUGACCUAGGUCCCCUGCUGCACCUGCAAGCUAGAGCACAGCACAAUGCUCUCUAUGUUGCUACAGGAAGAAAACCCCACCCGCUCCUAUAAAUAGGGACUGCUGAUGGGCCCCGGCUGCACCUGGGGCUGGUCUUGCUGCAGCUCUUGCACCUGGUGCAGUUGGUGGGAGAUCCUUAAAACAUUGAAUAAUGCUGCUCUCAAGGAUUUCUCCUCCUGCUGUGCCCCUGCAGUCCUCCAGUAUGUCCUAAGAAAACUUAUGCAUACCACAGGACAAGCGAGUUUGUAGCUUUUCAUGGGACCAAAGGCACAUACCACCACUGUCUGGUGCUGCUGGAGAGAAAGACUCAUCCCACCAGGAGUUGACAUGCAGGCACUCAGCUGCUCUAUACUUCCCUGGCCUCCAGAACUGGAUACGCAACUCAGAUGAUUCUCUGGCUCACCAUCCUGUGAAAUGCACUUUAUUUAUAUGAAAGCACAUAAAAUGUAGCUAAGGCGGCUCCAAUAAGCUACAACAAAGGAUUUUUUUUUUCUUUUGACAAUUGCACGUGGCUUCCCAGUACAUCCCGAAGACUUCACAGCCAAACACUUUUAUGCAAAACCAACACCAGGAUGGCAGAAACCUCUUUCAUUUACACAGAGAAGAGCCCAGCACCUCUCCAUCACCAUGCCAUGCUGUUGGGACGUGCACAUGUGGCCUCAACUAAUGGAAGGGCACGCCGCUCAAGCCCACCACCUACACAGGAUAAUCAGCACCAACAACAUCUCUUCUGUUUCCAGUUGCUAUUUUAAGAAAAUGCCCUCAAAGCAGAACACCAUUUCAGAGAGUUUCGGCUACCAGAGAACAGAAUGGCAAAUGCAUGUAGUUGCCAAAGUGCUGCCUCUGGCUCAGUCCAAGUGAAGGAAGAGAAACAGCAAUACUGCUCUGUGGGACACCUCCGCUUCGCGCGCUGUCCUCCAGCUCAAAACCAAGUACCAACAAACUCACAAGAAGAGCCACGUCCAUUUUGGAACCUAUAAUUUUUAAAUAUAACAUUUUAUUGCUUAGAUGGUUUGAUACAGAACAACUUUUAUUUUGAAUUUGGAAGUACUGUACAACUGAAUAAAAAGAGGAAUAAAAGUACCAAAACAAA